UACGGAGGGAGCAAGCGUUACUCGGAAUUAUUGGGCGUAAAGGGCGCGUAGGCGAUUUGAAAAGUCUUGUGUGAAAGCCCCGAGCUUAACUCGGGAAGUGCACAAGAAACUGUUGAAUUUUGAGUUCCGGAGAGGAAGGCAGAAUUCCCGGUGUAGCGGUGAAAUGCGUAGAUAUCGGGAGGAAUACCAGUGGCGAAGGCGGCCUUCUGGACGGAUACUGACGCUGAGGCGCGAAAAGCCAGGGGAGCAAAGCGGG
This 256-nucleotide ribosomal RNA is filed under the name uncultured bacterium. RNAcentral describes it as "partial 16S ribosomal RNA". It matches the Rfam family "Bacterial small subunit ribosomal RNA", at positions 524 to 777 of the family's 1533-position model. The record is from RNAcentral.